GAAAUGGGUUCUUCUAAGAUGAUGCCUUAUCUGAACAUGUUUGUAUUCUCAAAUAUUGGUGGGAUAGUUGCUGAUCACUUGAUCACAAAGAGAAUCCUAUCUGUGACCAGAACCCGAAAGUUCUUAAACACUAUAGGAUUUUUCAUUGCUUCUCUUGCAUUAAUGGCUCUUCCCAUUUUCAGAACUUCUAAUGGGGCAGUUUUCUGUUCUUCUGUGGCACUUGGG
This 225-nucleotide unclassified non-coding RNA is filed under the name Hevea brasiliensis (rubber tree). Lineage: Eukaryota; Viridiplantae; Streptophyta; Magnoliopsida; Malpighiales; Euphorbiaceae. The record is from RNAcentral.